CGUUAGCGGCGGACGGGUGAGUAACACGUGGGUAACCUACCUAUAAGACUGGGACAACUUCGGGAAACCGGAGCUAAUACCGGAUAAGAUAUCGAACCGCAUGGUUCGAUAGUGAAAGANGGUUUUGCUAUCACUUAUAGAUGGACCCGCGCCGUAUUAGCUAGUUGGUGAGGUAACGGCUCACCAAGGCAACGAUACGUAGCCGAUGAGAGGGUGAUCGGCCACAUUGGGACUGAGACACGGCCCAAACUCCUACGGGAGGCAGCAGGC
This 270-nucleotide ribosomal RNA is filed under the name uncultured Staphylococcus sp. RNAcentral's name for it is "partial 16S ribosomal RNA". It matches the Rfam family "Bacterial small subunit ribosomal RNA", at positions 90 to 354 of the family's 1533-position model. The record is from RNAcentral. Lineage: Bacteria; Bacillati; Bacillota; Bacilli; Caryophanales; Staphylococcaceae.